Molecule: ribosomal RNA, 244 nt
Filed under: uncultured bacterium
Lineage: Bacteria
Description: partial 16S ribosomal RNA
Rfam family: Bacterial small subunit ribosomal RNA
Source: RNAcentral
UAGUCCACGCCGUAAACGUUGGGCGCUAGGUGUGGGGGCCAUUCCGCGGUCUCCGUGCCGCAGCUAACGCAUUAAGCGCCCCGCCUGGGGAGUACGGCCGCAAGGCUAAAACUCAAAGGAAUUGACGGGGGCCCGCACAAGCGGCGGAGCAUGUUGCUUAAUUCGAUGCAACGCGAAGAACCUUACCUAGGCUUGACAUGCACGGAAAUCUUCCAGAGAUGGGAGGUCCGUAAGGGUCGUGCAC